CCUACGGGAGGCAGCAGUGGGGGAUAUUGGACAAUGGGGGAAACCCUGAUCCAGCGACGCCGCGUGAGUGAAGAAGUAUUUCGGUAUGUAAAGCUCUGUCAGCAGGGAAGAAAGAAAUGACGGUACCUGACCAAGAAGCUCCGGCUAAAUACGUGCCAGCAGCCGCGGUAAUACGUAUGGAGCAAGCGUUAUCCGGAUUUACUGGGUGUAAAGGGAGCGUAGGCGGCCCUGUAAGUCUGAUGUGAAAAUUUGGGGCUCAACCCCAAACGUGCAUUGGAAACUGCAGGGCUUGAGUGCCGGGGAGGCAGGCGGAAUUCCUAGUGUAGCGGUGAAAUGCGUAGAUAUUAGGAGGAACACCAGUGGCGAAGGCGGCCUGCUGGACGGUAACUGACGCUGAGGCUCGAAAGCGUGGGGAGCAAACAGGAUUAGAUACCCUAGUAGUC
RNAcentral lists this ribosomal RNA (443 nucleotides) under uncultured bacterium. RNAcentral describes it as "partial 16S ribosomal RNA". It matches the Rfam family "Bacterial small subunit ribosomal RNA", at positions 338 to 795 of the family's 1533-position model. The record is from RNAcentral.